GACGAACGCUGGCGGCGUGCUUAACACAUGCAAGUCGAACGGAAAGGCCCUGCUUUUGUGGGGUGCUCGAGUGGCGAACGGGUGAGUAACACGUGAGUAACCUGCCCUUGACUUUGGGAUAACUUCAGGAAACUGGGGCUAAUACCGGAUAGGAGCUACUGCUGCAUGGUGGGGGUUGGAAAGUUUCGGCGGUUGGGGAUGGACUCGCGGCUUAUCAGCUUGUUGGUGGGGUAGUGGCUUACCACGGCUUUGACGGGUAGCCGGCCUGAGAGGGUGACCGGCCACAUUGGGACUGAGAUGCGGCCCAGACUCCUACGGUAGGCAGCGGUGGGGAAUAGUGCACAAUGGGCGGAAGCCUGAUGCAGCAACGCCGCGUGCGGUAUGACGGCCUUCGGGUUGUAUACCGCUUUCGCCUGUGACGAAGCGUGAGUGACGGUAAUGGGUAAAGAAGCACCGGCUAACUACGUG
Molecule: ribosomal RNA, 468 nt
Filed under: uncultured bacterium
Lineage: Bacteria
Description: partial 16S ribosomal RNA
Rfam family: Bacterial small subunit ribosomal RNA
Source: RNAcentral